RNAcentral lists this transfer RNA (81 nucleotides) under Elusimicrobiota bacterium. Its description in RNAcentral is "tRNA-Leu". It matches the Rfam family "tRNA". Rfam says of the family: Transfer RNA (tRNA) molecules are approximately 80 nucleotides in length. Their secondary structure includes four short double-helical elements and three loops (D, anti-codon, and T loops). Further hydrogen bonds mediate the characteristic L-shaped molecular structure. tRNAs have two regions of fundamental functional importance: the anti-codon, which is responsible for specific mRNA codon recognition, and the 3' end, to which the tRNAs corresponding amino acid is attached (by aminoacyl-tRNA synthetases). tRNAs cope with the degeneracy of the genetic code in two manners: having more than one tRNA (with a specific anti-codon) for a particular amino acid; and 'wobble' base-pairing, i.e. permitting non-standard base-pairing at the 3rd anti-codon position. The record is from RNAcentral. Lineage: Bacteria; Pseudomonadati; Elusimicrobiota.
GCGGACAUGGCGGAAUGGCAGACGCGUAUGGCUUAGGACCAUAUAUCGCAAGGUGUGGGGGUUCAAGUCCCUCUGUCCGCA